This 173-nucleotide non-coding RNA is filed under the name Schinkia azotoformans LMG 9581. Its description in RNAcentral is "Bacillus azotoformans LMG 9581 SAM riboswitch aptamer (S box leader)". It matches the Rfam family "SAM riboswitch aptamer (S box leader)". Rfam says of the family: The SAM riboswitch is found upstream of a number of genes which code for proteins involved in methionine or cysteine biosynthesis in Gram-positive bacteria. The SAM riboswitch acts at the level of transcription termination control. The record is from Rfam by way of RNAcentral. Lineage: Bacteria; Bacillati; Bacillota; Bacilli; Caryophanales; Bacillaceae.
CUCUUAUCCCGAGUUGGUGGAGGGGGGACAGACCCUAAGAAACCCGGCAACCGACACUAUUAUUAUUUCCAUGAAAUUAUCGCAACUAUCCGGUUUAUUUCGUUGGAAAAUAAAAAAUGGUGACAAGGUGCUUAACCUGUUGCAAGACAAGCUUUUGUCUUGAGCGAUAAGAG